GACGAACGCUGGCGGCGUGCUUAACACAUGCAAGUCGAACGGAAAGGCCCUGCUUUUGUGGGGUGCUCGAGUGGCGAACGGGGGAGUAACACGUGAGUAACCUGCCCUUGACUUUGGGAUAACUUCAGGAAACUGGGGCUAAUACCGGAUAGGAGCUCCUGCUGCAUGGUGGGGGUUGGAAAGUUUCGGCUGUUGGGGAUGGAUUGGCGGCUUAUCCGCUUGUUGGUGGGGUAGUGGCUUACCAAGGCUAUGACGGGUAGCCGGCGUGAGGGGGGGGCCGGCGUCAUGGGGACUGAGAGACGGACCAGAAUCGUAUGGGACGCAGCGGUGGAGAAUAUUACAGAGUGGGCGGAAGUCUGAGGCAGCAGCGCCGCGAGCGGGAUGACGGCCUUCGGGUUGUAAACCGCUUUCGACUGUGACGAAGCGGUAGUGACGGUAAUGGGUAAAAAAGCACCGGCUAACUACGUG
This 468-nucleotide ribosomal RNA is filed under the name uncultured bacterium. Its description in RNAcentral is "partial 16S ribosomal RNA". It matches the Rfam family "Bacterial small subunit ribosomal RNA", at positions 28 to 507 of the family's 1533-position model. The record is from RNAcentral.